UCUUUAAUUUAUAUUUUUUGAUCGCUAAGUUGUUCGUUUGCAUGUCGCUGGAUCCAGCGAUCAAACUAAUCGCUAAAGGCCCUGUUCGUUUGCUUGUCGUUGGCGACUGAAACCAGCGACAGCGACCAAAAGUUGUUUGUUUGCCUGUCGCUGGUUCAGCGACCAAAAAUAGCGAUAGUUGCCAGCGAUCAGCGACCGCAAUUUUUGGUCGCUGAAAGUUUUAACGAUCAGUCGCUGGUUUUAGCGAUUAGUCGCUGCUUUUGAUCGCUGGACUUUUUACCUGUUUUUCAUCUCUUGGUAAAAUUUAUUUGGUAAAAUUUAAUCAUCUCUUGAAAGUAUCUUUAUU
RNAcentral lists this small RNA (346 nucleotides) under Arabidopsis thaliana (thale cress). RNAcentral's name for it is "ATSL214270". The record is from RNAcentral. Lineage: Eukaryota; Viridiplantae; Streptophyta; Magnoliopsida; Brassicales; Brassicaceae.